GGCUAACUCCGUGCCAGCAGCCGCGGUAAUACGGAGGAUCCGAGCGUUAUCCGGAUUUAUUGGGUUUAAAGGGUGCGUAGGCGGCGCAUUAAGUCAGUGGUGAAAGGUAACCGCUUAACGGGGACACUGCCAUUGAUACUGAUGUGCUGGAGUACAGAUGAAGUGGGCGGAAUGUGUCAAGUAGCGGUGAAAUGCAUAGAUAUGACACAGAACACCAAUUGCGAAGGCAGCUCACUAAAGUGUAACUGACGCUGAGGCACGAAAGCGUGGGGAUCGAACAGGAUUAGAUACCCUGGUAGUCCACGCCCUAAACGAUGAUUACUCGAUGUUAGCGAUACACGGUUAGCGUCAAAGCGAAAGCGUUAAGUAAUCCACCUGGGGAGUACGCCCGCAAGGGUGAAACUCAAAGGAAUUGACGGGGGCCCGCACAAGCGGAGGAGCAUGUGGUUUAAUUCGAUGAUACGCGAGGAACCUUACCCGGGCUUGAAAGUUAGUGAAUGAUACAGAGACGUAUCAGUCCUUCGGGACACGAAACUAGGUGCUGCA
RNAcentral lists this ribosomal RNA (546 nucleotides) under uncultured Bacteroidota bacterium. RNAcentral's name for it is "bacterial SSU rRNA". It matches the Rfam family "Bacterial small subunit ribosomal RNA", at positions 495 to 1045 of the family's 1533-position model. Lineage: Bacteria; Pseudomonadati; Bacteroidota. The record is from RNAcentral.